GUUAGGUGGCAAGCGUUGUCCGGAAUUAUUGGGCGUAAAGCGCGCGCAGGGCGGUCCUUUAAGUCUGAUGUGAAAGCCCACGGCUCAACCGUGGAGGGUCAUUGGAAACUGGGGGACUUGAGUACAGAAGAGGAAAGCGGAAUUCCAAGUGUAGCGGUGAAAUGCGUAGAGAUUUGGAGGAACACCAGUGGCGAAGGCGGCUUUCUGGUCUGUAACUGACGCUGAGGCGCGAAAGCGUGGGGAGCAAACAGGAUUAGAUACCCUGGUAGUCCACGCCGUAAACGAUGAGUGCUAAGUGUUAGGGGGUUUCCGCCCCUUAGUGCCGCAGCUAACGCAUUAAGCACUCCGCCUGGGGAGUACGGCCGCAAAGGCUG
Molecule: ribosomal RNA, 374 nt
Filed under: uncultured organism
Description: partial 16S ribosomal RNA
Rfam family: Bacterial small subunit ribosomal RNA
Source: RNAcentral